This 558-nucleotide ribosomal RNA is filed under the name Tegula pellisserpentis. RNAcentral's name for it is "partial 16S ribosomal RNA". It matches the Rfam family "Bacterial large subunit ribosomal RNA", at positions 1816 to 2597 of the family's 2925-position model. Lineage: Eukaryota; Metazoa; Mollusca; Gastropoda; Trochida; Tegulidae. The record is from RNAcentral.
CGCUCUCUGUGAUAAGUUAUUGAAAAUGUAUAGAGAGUCGGGCCUGCCCAGUGACAUUUCAUGUUAAACGGCCGCGGUACCCUGACCGUGCAAAGGUAGCAUAAUCAUUUGCCUUUUGAUUGAGGGCUAGUAUGAAUGGCUUGACGAGAGCUGGACUGUCUCUUUUUAAAUUUAUAAAAAUUAGCUUCUAAGUGAAGAGACUUAGAUUUAACUGAGUGACGAAAAGACCCUAUUGAGCUUCAGUGAAUCGAUAAAGAUAAUGUUAUUUUUGAUUUUAAUACAUUAAGGUGUAUUUAUAAUUUAUUGAAAAUCUUUAGUUGGGGCGACUGAGGAAUAAAUAAAGCUUCCUUUUAUAUAUUUUGAUAAAGUGUGGUAAGCAAACUAAUUUGAUUAGAUCCAACACAUGUUGAUUAAAGGAAAAAGUUACCAUAGGGAUAACAGCGUGAUCUUUCCGGAGAGUUCUUAUUGAAGGAAAGGUUUACGACCUCGAUGUUGGACUAAGAUAUCCUAGGGGUGUAGAAGCUUCUAAUGGUUAGUCUGUUCGACUAUUAAAAUCUU